AUUACACUCUCUGCUGCUUGGAUUACGAAGGCCUUGGAAGUGGAGGCCACAGGCCGUUCCCAAGCAGACUCCUCAUUUUUUUCUCCGUCACCUAGGCACUCAGCAUUGUUGUCGGAUUGUUUUCCUGGGCUCACCCGCCUGGACUUGCAGCUCAGAAGGCUCCCUGGAAAGGAUCCCCUGGCACCUCUGAGGCCCAGGCUUCGGCCCCUCCUUCCCUGCUCCUCCACGCCAGCACCCGACCCAGCCGGCAGCUGGCCACGGGCAGGUGACCCGAGGGUCCGCGACAUGGCUGUGGGAAGGGGAGCCCUGCCCUGAACAGAAAGUGCAGGGACAGACGAGGACCAGCAGGGAUGGGCUAUGCCAGGUCCCUGCCUUUCCCACAGCAGCCCACAAGGACAGCAGGGGAGUGGGGCCCCUGCCCAGAGACCUGGGUCCUUGCUGUCUUCAUCACUGCUCAGAAAUGCUGGUGACCAGAUGGCUCACUUUAGAGGAAAUACGCGGUCAGGCUUAUUAGAAAAGAAAGAGAAGGAGGAGGAAAGCGAGGAGGCUUGUGUCACACCCAGCACAGUGACAGCUCGGAAACCUCAGCACCGUGUGUUCCCCCUGCGUCUCCACCUCGGGUUCCGCUGUCCUCACCAAGCUUCCCCACCUCAGCCAGGAGCCACACUCAGCCCUCGACACUAUCCCUGUCCUGCGCUCUGUCGGUGUGUGCGCGAGACACCCUACUGACACGAGUUUGGGGCCAGCAGGGACGCGUGGGCCGUCUACUGAGGAAGCUGGUGGCCUCGGAGUCGGAGGCCGAGGGAGGACCUGGGAGGCGGCGCUGGAAGGAGGACACUGAGACGGAGAAUCCCCUGCAGUAACAGAAGCGGCGGUGGGGGCAGAGGCCUGGCUGUGAACCCGGCAGGGACCUCGACCUGAAGGAAGCUGCCAACCCACCCAGGUCCUGAGAGGCUUCUUGGGGAGGUGGAGGAGGACCAGGACAGGGGCAAGACAGGACGAGGGCUGAGACGGGGCUGAGACACGGAGGCAGAGAAAGGAUGGACGCCUCCUCCGCCCUCUGGUGGGACCUCUUCCUCACUCUCACUGUCAGCUGAAGCAUCCCAGGCAGAAAUCAGGAGAGGGGCACCGAGGAGACAGCUUUCUCCGUGUGGCCCACAAGCUGUGCCUGGGCAGCGGAGGCUCAGCACAAGCCAGCCUCAAAGUCUCUCUGUUUUGUUUUGCUGAGGUAGGGUCUCUCUAUGUAGCCCAGGCUGGCCUCAAACUCACAGUGAUCCUCCUACCUCAGCCUCCCGAGUUCUGGGAUUACAGAAGCAGCAGCCUGGGAUGGGUUGGAGACUGUAAAGCUGGCCUUUCACUAUGCAUGGCUGAGACUCCCUGGCACCAAGAACAGCCACCCUGUCCCCCAGCCAGGGACCGCAGGGGUGAGAUCGGCACAGCAGCAGCACACGGCGCACAGCCCUGGGGCAGCAGAGACGCCAACUGGGCAGGCAGGAGCCCGGGCCCCUCAGGGACACAGGGACACACCGUGCCCAGCACCAGUGGGGCAUGGAAACAGGAGUGGCUGGCAGCAGAGGGGAUGCAGGAGCCCCGGCAUCCCGCCAAGGCCACAGGGCUUCUGGGAGCUCGGUUCUGGACACCCCCUUGCUGACGCUGCCUCACCCUCCUGCUGCGUCCUGACACUGGUUGAGCAGACCCAGAAGCCCAAGCCCGAGCAGAACCCGGGAGAGGAAGCCUUUUACCCACUGAGGCUGCGGCCCCACAUGGUCUGGGGUUUGGGGAGUGAGGCCUCUGCCCCUGCCUGCUAUCCCCUCCUGAGCUGAGGAGCGAGAGAAACAGGGCUGAGAACACUCCUGGCUGUGGCCCAUUUACGACAGAGCCUGGGAUUCCAUUUAUACAAAGUGCAAAAACAGGCCACCGGCCAAGGAGAAGUCAGGAGACCGCGCCCCGGGGCCCAACAGCGAGGGAAGACCUGGGGCCUCCUGGGACUCGUGCAGGACCUCCCCAGGCCGAGCUGAUUUGGGGUGUGUUCUGGUGCACACGUGCAGGACAUAGACAACACUUGUGAGUCUGUGUGCUCCCCGGUGUCUGUCCACUUCCCUCACGAAUGUUGAACCUCCAUAAAAAGUUUUGGAAAACACUAUGGCUCUCACCUCGACAGCAAAACUAAAACCCUAGCAGAGACCUCGUGAGCCUCCGUUCUGUUUGGGUUCGAAGCACUCUGUCAUAGGGCCGAAAGGGAACAGUGGCCCUGGAGGAGAAGCCGGGCUUGGAUUUGGGUCACUGUUUUCCCAGGUGGGGGUGGGAAGGGGUGACUCACUCUCCUCACCCCCUCUGCGGCCCUCGUCCCCACCGUGUGGGGCUGGAUGAGGUCCAAGGGCCGGGAGAUUUGGGCUGUUGCCUUGGUGAUGUUUAAAUAUUGGCUUCCCGUCAUGAUGGUAAAAUAAAUAAGCAGGAGGCUUGUGGCGCUCAGCUGGCCACACCCGCAUUCCAGACCCCAGGUCCCCAGCUGGUGGCCCAAGGUGGCUGAGCUCUAGGGCAGCCUGGAACUUUCUCCUGGUGGGGAGAGGAACAAAGAAGGACCUGGAGUGCUCUAGGGAGGCAGAGUGUCAGGCUGGAUGCUACGUGUCCAAGUGUCCAGUCCCCAAGUGCCAAUGGAUCCUCCUCAAGUUCCGGCUCACAGUCGUCUGCCAGAACCAAAAUCCACAGCCUGCAGGAGGUGUUCUUCCGUGUGCAGGGAGGAAACCAGAAGAACUGGACUUCAGCUGUCAGCAGACUGGACUGCUCUCAGAAGGUGAAGGCAAAGUAAUGGAGUUGUUGGAACUGAGGGUGUCGCUCAGGGAUACGGCGCUUGCCUAGCACGUGCAAAGGCCCUGGGUUCCAUCCUAAAGAUAACGAAAAAAGAAAAUAGAGCUGCCUCUGGAGUCGGGAGCCCUGUAGCCCAACUGCAUCCCCUCUGGACACAGGAGAGGAGGAGCCAAGACUCCCAACAGAGCCCGAAUGACGAGGACCUGGUCCAGGAAGCAGAGCAGGACUUGGCCCACGGUGAAUUCUCACUUGCACUUCAGGCUCUCACGCCAAGAUGCUCUUUGACUCUGAGGUGUGAGGCAACUCCUUAGCUCCUCUGGGCCUCAGUUUCCCCAUCUGUAAACCAUUACUUUUAUAGAGAGAGGCGGGUGAGAACAGGACUCCAGCCCUGGGAGCGUGCUCUCCCCGUGCAGCUGUGGCAGAUGUGCAGCAAGGAUUCCAGGGUUUACGAUUCAGCCGCCCUGGGGAAGUGGAAACUGUUUGCCUCGACCCAAAAGCAUCCAAAUAAUAAACCGCCUCUAAAGCCUUGGCUCCGAAGGUC
RNAcentral lists this long non-coding RNA (3349 nucleotides) under Heterocephalus glaber (naked mole-rat). Its description in RNAcentral is "lncRNA (ENSHGLG00100039861.1)". The record is from RNAcentral. Lineage: Eukaryota; Metazoa; Chordata; Mammalia; Rodentia; Bathyergidae.